Molecule: long non-coding RNA, 1764 nt
Organism: Ictalurus punctatus (channel catfish)
Lineage: Eukaryota; Metazoa; Chordata; Actinopteri; Siluriformes; Ictaluridae
Source: Ensembl
UUUGGUUAAAGAAAUGGCAAUGUCUAACAUUAGAGACGAUUCUAUAGAUGCCUCACAAGAAGAAGAGGUUAAAGAAAAUGACCAGGUAAAGAUUCCUGAUAAAAAUGAAGAACGCCAAUUAACAGGAAUGGCAGAAAAUCAAUCAGAGGAAGUAAAGGAAAUAUGGGAAGUAAAAAGCAAGUAGAAAAGAAAGCAGAGGAACAACAUGAAGACAAACAAGUAGAUCAAAUAGAAAAAGAAGAACAAGAAAGUGAUGAAAAAGUCGAAUUAGGUAAUGGCAAAUUUAAAGAUGAGUCAUACUACAUAGAGGAUGAUGAAGAAGAUGUAAAGAAGGAUGGUGUGGGAAAAGAUGCAGAGCCAAGAAGAAAUGGAGUGGAAUGGGAGGAUGGAAAAGAUCUUGAAGUAGAGAUUGAGGCGCAGGAGAAGGUCAGUGGAGUAACAUCUAUGGCUACGCCACAAAGCAUCCUUAAUAUAGACUCUUUAAUUAGAGAGGGUCACUUACAUGUGGGGCAGGAGCAGCAAAACAUAGGCUUGGAACAGAUGUCUGAUGAACCAGUAAGUGAAAUGCACUCCAUUGGUGAAGAAGUAGAGAUUUUCUGUGGAACUGAUUCAUCACAGCAAGCUCUGGCACAAAACAAUGAUCGAGUUGAAAAAGUAGAAAACAAUUCAGAAUUCGUUGACCGAGACGAAGACGUGUGCCGCCAAAUUGACAAAGAGCAUGUGGCAGUAGAUGCUAUUGGUGAGGUUGACGCAGUACUGGAGAAGCAAGAGAGGGACUGCUUAAACGAGAACAUGGAUGACAGCGCUUCAACAGAAUCUGUAACAGAUGAUGAAAUGGAGCUGUAUCUCCUCAGUCUGAAGAACACACAACAGUCAGGACUUAAAGAUGGCAUAUCUAUGGGAAAGAGGCACUCCAUAAGCAGAACACUGACAAUACCAUCACCCAUGCCUUCAAUUUCAGAAUUUAUGGAUGAUGACCAGCCAAAUGCUUUGCUAGAUGACCUGACAAAUGAGGAAAUUAUAGAACCAGAGAGAACCACUUUACCUCCUUUGGACGAAGAGGAGGAAGUCACUGAGCCGAAUUUGUUAUGGUGGAGAGAGUUCUUCUCCUCUGAUAAUAUGCCAAAACUGAUUGUGUACACCCUUUUGUUUGUUGUUUUUUAAUAACUGCAUACAUUUGUGAUUUCAUUGCAUGUUUUGGGCUCUACCUUCUUGCCUUGCAUUGGCUAUACUUUCAAGUGCAGGGAGAACCUUUAAAAGGCACUUGAUGCAACAAGACAAAAAAAAGACUAUUACUGGUUCGUAAAUUAUAUUUUUCCAGUUGUGGGCCAUUAUCUGUACGUCAUCUCUAUUGUUUGUUAGCGUACAUUGACUCUAAGGUCUCUUUCAGUACAACAAUUUAAAACAAAUUUGUAUAUCCAGCUUAUUUGCUAAUUGGGAAUGAUGUUUUUUGAUGGUGUUACAGCCAUCCUUUAGCAUAAUGUGUAUGUAAAACCUGUUUGUGUUAUCUUAUAACACUCAUUCUUAGUGACGAGUUAUUAAAUCUCCACACUUUCGCUGGGUGAUUCUGGUCAUUGACUGUGUAUCAGUACAAACACUGAUGUAUUUAAUAUAAAUGUGUGUAUACCCAUUUAAUAAAUUCAAAUAACUACGACAUGUAGUUUAAAAGUUUGCUUAAAACCCCAAAAUCAGAAAUGAGGCAAGAAUAUAUGUUGCUGCAAAUAUUUUUCCUGUGUCUCUGUGUAUAGUACUUGUAUCCUGCUG